This 65-nucleotide non-coding RNA is filed under the name Enterobacter cloacae. The record is from RNAcentral. RNAcentral also lists the same sequence under 7 other names. Lineage: Bacteria; Pseudomonadati; Pseudomonadota; Gammaproteobacteria; Enterobacterales; Enterobacteriaceae.
AAAGCACGACAUUGCUCACAUUGCUUCCAGUAUUACUUUAGCCAGCUUUUAGCUGGCUUUUUUUU